GGCUGGUCCAAUGGUAGUGGGUUAUCAAAACUUGUUACCAUUAGUGUCACUAAAGUUGGUAUACAAACCCCCCACUGCUCAAUUUGACUGGCUAAAA
RNAcentral lists this Y RNA (97 nucleotides) under Propithecus coquereli (Coquerel's sifaka). RNAcentral's name for it is "Y RNA (ENSPCOG00000010068.1)". It matches the Rfam family "Y RNA". Rfam says of the family: Y RNAs are components of the Ro ribonucleoprotein particle (Ro RNP), in association with Ro60 and La proteins. The Y RNAs and Ro60 and La proteins are well conserved, but the function of the Ro RNP is not known. Lineage: Eukaryota; Metazoa; Chordata; Mammalia; Primates; Indriidae. The record is from RNAcentral.